GACGAACGCUGGCGGCGUGCUUAACACAUGCAAGUCGAACGGAAAGGCCCUGCUUUUGUGGGGUGCUCGAGUGGCGAACGGGUGAGUAACACGUGAGUAACCUGCCCUUGACUUUGGGAUAACUUCAGGAAACUGGGGCUAAUACCGGAUAGGAGCUCCUGCUGCGUGGUGGGGGGUGGAAAGUUUCGGCGGUUGGGGAUGGACUCGCGGCUUAUCAGCUUGUUGGUGGGGUAGUGGCUUACCAAGGCUUUGACGGGUAGCCGGCCUGAGAGGGUGACCGGCCACAUUGGGACUGAGAUACGGCCCAGACUCCUACGGGAGGCAGCAGUGGGGAAUAUUGCACAAUGGGCGGAAGCCUGAUGCAGCAACGCCGCGUGCGGGAUGACGGCCUUCGGGUUGUAAACCGCUUUCGCCUGUGACGAAGCGCGAGUGACGGUAAUGGGUAAAGAAGCACCGGCUAACUACGUG
Molecule: ribosomal RNA, 468 nt
Filed under: uncultured bacterium
Lineage: Bacteria
Description: partial 16S ribosomal RNA
Rfam family: Bacterial small subunit ribosomal RNA
Source: RNAcentral